RNAcentral lists this ribosomal RNA (253 nucleotides) under uncultured bacterium. RNAcentral describes it as "partial 16S ribosomal RNA". It matches the Rfam family "Bacterial small subunit ribosomal RNA", at positions 524 to 776 of the family's 1533-position model. The record is from RNAcentral.
UACAGAGGGUGCGAGCGUUAAUCGGAAUUACUGGGCGUAAAGCGUGCGUAGAUGGUUAUGUAAGUCGGAUGUGAAAGCCCCGGGCUCAACCUGGGAAUGGCAUUCGAGACUGCAUAGCUAGGAUGCGGAAGAGGGAAGCGGAAUUUCCGGUGUAGCGGUGAAAUGCGUAGAUAUCGGAAGGAACACCAGUGGCGAAAGCGGCUUCCUGGACCAGUACCGACGUUCAGGCACGAAAGCGUGGGGAGCAAACAGG